RNAcentral lists this ribosomal RNA (1242 nucleotides) under metagenome. Its description in RNAcentral is "bacterial LSU rRNA". It matches the Rfam family "Bacterial large subunit ribosomal RNA", at positions 1564 to 2814 of the family's 2925-position model. The record is from RNAcentral.
UGAAUACGAGAUGCUACGGCAUUGAAGCAGUGUAUGUCAGACUUCCAAGAAAAGCUCGCAAUGUCAUAAACAAUAAAUGCCUGUACCAUAACCGACACAGGUGGGUAGGUAGAGUAUACUAAGGGGCGCGAGAUAACUCUCUCUAAGGAACUCGGCAAAAUGACUCCGUAACUUCGGGAGAAGGAGUGCCUUAUUUUAUAAGGUUGCAAUAACAAGAUCCAAGCAACUGUUUACCAAAAACACAGGUCUCCGCUAAGUCGAAAGGCGAUGUAUGGGGGCUGACGCCUGCCCAGUGCCAGAAGGUUAAAGAAGUUGGUUAGCUUCGGCGAAGCUGAUGACUGAAGCCCUGGUGAACGGCGGCCGUAACAAUAACGGUCCUAAGGUAGCGAAUUUCCUUGUCGGGUAAGUUCCGACCCGCACGAAAGGCGUAAUGAUUUGGAUACUGUCUCGGAGAGGGGCUCGGUGAAAUAGACUUGUCUGUGAAGAUGCGGACUACCUGCACCUGGACAGAAAGACCCUAUGAAGCUUUACUGUAACUUGAGAUUGAAAUUGGACUUUAUUUGCGCAGUAUAGGUGGGAGACGUUGAGAAUAUUCUUGCGGGAAUAUUGGAGUCAUCAGUGAGAUACCACUCUUGUAAUGUUAGAUUUCUAACUUUGUAUCAUUAUCUGGUCAAAGGACAGUUUCAGGCGGGCAGUUUGACUGGGGCGGUCGCCUCCUAAACGGUAACGGAGGCGCACAAAGGUUUCCUCUGAACGUGUAGAAAUCGUAUCUAGAGUGUAAAGGCAUAAGGAAGCUUGACUGUGAGACCUACAAGUCGAGCAGGGACGAAAGUCGGUCUUAGUGAUCUGACGGUGCUGAGUGGAAAGGCCGUCACUCAACGGAUAAAAGUUACUCUAAGGAUAACAGGCUGAUCUCCCCCAAGAGUUCACAUCGACGGGGAGGUUUGGCACCUCGAUGUCGGCUCAUCGCAUCCUGGGGCGGUAGUACGUCCCAAGGGUUGGGCUGUUCGCCCAUGAAAGCGGUACGCGAGCUGGGUUCAGAACGUCGUGAGACAGUUCGGUCCAUAUCCGGUGUAGGCGUUAGAAUAUUGAGAGGAGCCUUCUUUAGUACGAGAGGACCGAGAAGGACAUACCUCUGGUGUACCAGUUAUCGUGCCAACGGUAAACGCUGGGUAGCUAUGUAUGGAGUGGAUAACCGCUGAAAGCAUCUAAGUGGGAAGCCCACCUCAAGAUAAGUAUUCU